RNAcentral lists this long non-coding RNA (25649 nucleotides) under Populus trichocarpa (black cottonwood). RNAcentral describes it as "long non-coding RNA (PTRI_LNC003918)". The record is from RNAcentral. Lineage: Eukaryota; Viridiplantae; Streptophyta; Magnoliopsida; Malpighiales; Salicaceae.
AUGGAGAUGACGACUGAUUUAGAGUCCGGGCCGCAACAGUCCACCGAAGAAAGUAAAGGCCAGCUGAAUAGAUGGAAGAGAUUGUCAUGGAAGUUGUGUAUUUACCUUGGUACUAUUGGAAUGCUGGUUGCUUUUCUAAUGGGUUUGGACAUGUCUUGGACUGCACUCACAACAGCCCUCAUUUUUGUGAUUCUUGAUUUCAAAGAUGCAGGGCCUUGCCUAGAGAAGGUAAAUCAACAGGUCUUUCACAAAAAUUCUAUUUGCUUUCCUAAAUAUCUUUUCAACAACUGUAAUACUUCCAUGCAGUAUUCGAUUGAGUAAAAAUCUACUUAUCCGUAGUUGCUUGGAUCAGGUUUCAUACUCUCUUCUGGUAUUCUUUUGUGGAAUGUUUAUCACGGUUGAUGGCUUCAAUAAAACAGGAAUUCCUGGCAGUCUCUGGAGCUUGAUGGAGCCUCAUGCACGGAUCGAUCAUGCUAGUGGGAUUGCUGUGCUGGCCAUUGUAAUACUUCUUCUCUCAAAUGUUGCUUCGAAUGUACCAACUGGUAAGUUGAUGCCCUGAUUCUCUUCCUUUGAUUUCACUACAGCACUACGGCUUUAGAGUCUUAUAGAAGGGCAAUAGUAAUUUCCAGUUAAUAUCACUUCAUGGUAGACAAUUGAGGUCUCCAUCUGGUACCUCUGUUUGUUGUUGGAGAUGAGGGUUUUGUUGGGGGUGGGGGGAGAAAUCUUGUUCACGGGAGCAAAUUUAAGAUAAUGUUGGGUAACUGUCUCGAAGAUUGAAAAGACAGAUAAUAAAGAUAAAAAAACUUGUUCUCUUGUCUUUUUUAUUUUUUAAAAAUAGAAAUUUAUUCUAAAAUUAUUUUAAAAAUAUAUUUAUUUUAUAUUUUUGUUUUCAUCUCUUUAUCCAAACAUGUGUCUGUUAUUUCUAUAUUUAUCCUUUUUAUCUUGAAUCUUUAAAAGGAAGAUGAAAAUUAAUAGUAUUAUUGAUAAAUACAAAGUUAGACUUAUUGUUAAAGGAUUUAGACAACAGGAGAGUAUGAAUUAUUUUGAUACAUAUUUACUUGUAUCUAUAAUAACUUCCAUAAGAAUAUUAAUAAUCAUUGCAGUUAUUAACAAGCUUGAAAUACAUCAAAUGAAUUUUAAAAUAAAUUUUUUAAAUGGUGACCUUGAUGAAGAGGUUUACAUGGAAUAACCUGAGAGGUUUCUUGUUAAUAGACAACAAAAAAAAGUUCGUAAGAGUUGUUCAGGGCCAAAAUAAACACAACAAUGAAAACCAAACAAAUUCUCUCGGUAGAUAGCCAUGUGAGUACUAUUGUCUUGGUUUAUAUAAAAAACUAAAUAGUCCAAGACAUCACGCUCACUAUUUGGUUGAGUAAAAUCAAUAGUAUUUCACCAAGGAAGGUUCAAAGUUAAAAGUUAUCUAUCCUAAUAUAGUGAUCUAUCAAAUCAAUAUCUCUCAACAAAUAUUCAAGUCAUUUUAAAACUAGUAAGAUAAUUUUCAUUCAUGUGGAGGAUUGUUGAAAAUUUAUUUAAAGAAUAUGGUUAAUGGGCACAUUUAAGGCCAAAUUAAAAAUAGGAUCUAAAUUUAUUCGAAUUUAAUCUCCAACAUAUGCUCUUUAAUAUAGAACAUUAACAUGAUUUAAAUAAAUUGUGGGUGAAUGAGAAAUUAUUUCAAAGAACCUUUGGUUUGCAUGUUUUGGUGAAACUCAAAAUCCUUUAAAAAACUUUAUCUCGUAUUAGAAAGAAACAAAGUUUUCCUAGUGUUUAUAUAAUGGGUUAUUGAAGAGUUAAGAUUGGGCUCAAAGGGCACCCAAGUUUUUAGAGGGAAGAAGACUUAAACAAAGUGGACUUUGGGCUUAAACUUUUGUGUUGGCUCAACCCGACUUAUACUCAGGCCUGUGGCCUAGACUUGAGUUUGGAUUCAUUGUAAAAUAAUUUUUUGGAUAACAAUAUUUUUUACCAACUUAAAUUUGGGCUUGGAUUUGGUCCAUGAAGAAUUAUUUCUUAUCGUCACGCCCAUUAUUUUGUCCAUCCCAUGAAAGGAAAAAUCUAAUUAGUUUUUCCAGUAAUUUUUCAAAAAAACAUGAAGAUUUUUUUCUCAACUCAAAAGACAUUUGCUCAAGACAAUGUUUUUCCUGAUUUUAGAUACUCUUCCUUUCCUCAAAUCAUAGUGGUUUUUCUCCUUAUUUUUUAAACUUCUAUAUUCCUUCAAAAUCUAGAGCUUAGGUUCAUUUUGAUGAGAGAUUAUUGAAUCCAUCUACUUUGUUUCAAAGAUUUUGUUUAGAAAUGCAUCUAAACUAAGAUGAUGUUGAAUUUUAAAAGGCUUAUUACAAAUAACUUUUGCACCAAGAGAGAAACAAUAAAAUCUAAAUGACAAAUGAUUUAUUAUUAAUUAUAACAAAAGCUUUGUUAUUUAAAGUGCUUUAAUAAAUAAGUACAUUUUUUUAUUUAAACAUAAAUAUAUUGCUUAAUUAGUAUGCAUGUUAGAGUCUUUUAUAUAUAUAUAUAUAUAUAUAUAUAUAUAUAUAUAUAUAUAUAUAUAUAAUGAUAAACUAAACAAUCUAAUAUGUACUUAUUUUUGGCUUACAAGUUCUUUUGCUUGGAGCAAAGGUAGCUACUUCUGCCGCUGCAAUAUCUCCGAGUAAAGAGAAGAAAGCUUGGCUCAUCCUGGCAUGGGUUAGCACAGUUGCUGGAAACCUUUCACUAUUGGGUUCUGCUGCAAACCUAAUUGUGUGUGAACAAGCUCUUCGUGCCCAGCCUAGUUACAAUAUCACCUUUUGGAGCCAUUUGAAAUUUGGUGUUCCAUCCACACUUAUUGUCACUACUAUUGGCUUAACUCUUAUAUAUUGCUAUGAUGUUUGAAGGGCCUAUUUAAAUUGGGCUCUUCUUUAGGCUUUGGAUCUUUAUAAGGUUCUAGGCCCUUCUGCUUGUAAUUAGGUUUUUAUGCAUGUCACUUUAACUCAGAUUUUCAAAGAUGGAUUUAUGUUUUCCUUUUUUUCUGCCAAGGAAGAAGCAAACUUCUCUUUAGAACAGAUGGUGUAAAAGAAAUGAUCUUCCAUUUGUAUACCAUGUUCCACUGCAAUUAUAUGCAGAAAUCCUAGGCAAGGUAUACUAAGUAAUAAGAGCCCAAAAAAGUUGUCAUAAUUUGAUAUUGUUAGACUCACAAUCCUAUAAUGUAAGUAGUGUCAUACCAAGAAAUCAUCAGCAAUUAAUAGUCUUUAAUACCUUAUAUGUAAGCAGGUAUGAUCUUUAUAUCCUAUAUCAUGGUAGUUGCAUCCCUCAUCUUAAAUGUGGGUGACAAAAAGAUUGAAAGUACAAUUUCAUACCUAGGUAGGAAUUCACUAUGAGUUAAUAACACCCUAAUAAAACCUGGCCUGACCCAACAACUCAACUCAAUAACCUGUCAUCUAGAGCUUAGCUUGAACUAGGUUUUACUUUGAAUUAGUUUUUUUUUUUGUCGACCCACCAACUCAUAAAUUAACCCAUCCAAACUAUUAACGUGAUUUAAACUAAGUUAACUACUAGGUUAGAUUUUAUAACUACAGAUCAUGUUAAAUUGUUUGAAUAGCAUCUACUAGCGUCUAUUGUUAGCAACGUGUCAACAUUCUCAAAUCCAUAGGCCAUCCAACCAUAGACAUGAUAGUUGUUGUCAGCUUUAUUAAAAUAACUAAUUUGCAUUGGAAAACAUUAUUCCCCUAGAUUUAGAAUCAUUGUUCAUCAGAAAGUUUAAUGGUGGUUUUGCCCUUCCCACAAAAAAACCAUUGAAUUGUCUAAUAGAGGCAGUACAGUUUUUCCAUAUGGUCCAGUGGUCAUUAUCAUAUUAUUUAGGGACAAGUAAAUCCUUUCACAUUUUAAAAGCAUAAUGAAACAACUAAAAUAUCAUUGGUAGCAGAAAUUUUAAAGCUGGCGUACAGGGGCUCUUUUCUUCUUUUCAUAUUGAUUUUUUUUUGUGAUAAUUAAGUUGGAUAAUAUGCAAUUUGGUAUUUUAAUAAAUAUAAAAUAUAACUAAAAAAACAAAAGUGGUUGGCGCAUAUAAGGCACGCACCAGUGUGUGUGAGGCGCUCACACUAUUCAAGAUAUGCAUGUGGCGCCUCUCAGUGGCAAAAAAAAACCUUUUCACCAUGUCAUUAGAAUAUUUGUGUCAUCAUCUUCCUUUUAGGAUGAAGUGUGGUGUCAGUGGUGGCGCAAUUUAUUGUUGGCAACAUUUUGUUUCUUUUCCCCUCUUUUCUCUCUUUCCCCUCAAAAUUCAUGAUGGCAAUACAAAAAUUAAGAGAGGUCUUAUGUAUUAAGAGCUUGCCAAUUCCUAUAGCUACUUGAUGUGUGUUGUUGAAUAAUCAUAACUGGAAGAGGUCACAUAACAUGAUGUGCUUGUGCUAAAUGUAUAGUGUUAAGGAUCUAUGAUGAGGUAACCCACACAAAAGUAUUGGGAAACCAUAAUGGGGGUGAACCAUACAUAAAAAGAUGUUUGUGGUAUUUGACAGUUUCUAACUGAGAUUUGAACAGUUCUUUCUAGCCUGAAAAUACUGAUGCAAGAACUUAAAAAAAAAUAGAUAUUUUUCAUAGUUAAUUUAAUGUUUUCUAUUCAAUAUUAUUAUGCCUUUUAAUUUUUUUUCCUAUUUAAAGAGAAUAUUUUUCCUAUUCUAUAAUAGGGUUUUUUAGUUUUUCUAUAUAAAGGGUUAUAAUAGUUUUUUGGAAAAUGAAGACUUAGACAAGUAAAAAUUGAAUAUUUUAGGUGUCUCCCCCUAUAUUUAUGAAGAGUUUUGAUUUGUAAUAAAUCUGGUUAUUCUUUGCCCUGUCUAUGUCAAAAACACACAAAUAUCAUAAUAAAACUUGAAAAAAAAGAAAUAUUUAUCAAAACAUUACAUAGUUGUUUUAGUAAAUAGAACUUCUAAAUAAUUUAUUUAUGAUCCAUACAAUCUAAGAGCUAAUAUAUUUAAAAUAAAAUUCAUUAAGGUUAGUUAAUUUUAAAUUAUUUAAUAUAAUUAAUUAUGUAAUUAAAUAUUAAUUAGUUACUAUAAUAGAUCGUUGGUCCACACUACAUUGCAGGCCGGAUUAAAAACAUUUAACGUAAAAAGCAACAUCUAUGCGUUUUUAACAUUUUUCUAGUAGAAAAAAAUUAAAUUGUGUGGGGAUUGACUAAUUGUGACCUGGUUAACUUGGCAAGUUCAAAGACAACCCAGACAACUAAUAAAAAUAUAGUUUCAUUUAAAAAAACUCAAGACGAUAUCUUUUUUAAAAUAUUAAGAUGACAAUAUAUUGGAUCAACUUAGGUCAACCAAUGUUAACCUGCCAAAUCCAACACUCGUGUCAUGAGACCAUGAUAACCCCAUAUAAAGCAAAUCAAAACAAAUUAUGUAGUCUAAUUCCCAAUCAACUCAAUGUUAAAGGAUGAAAUUGAAAAUAAAUAAAUUAAAAAAGACAAAAAAAAACCAACUCGAGUCAACCCGAGUUAACCUGUCAAACUUGCAACCUAAGUCAUAAGAUUGAGAUAACCCUAUAGAAAUCAAAUCAAAAUAAAUUAUGAAGCCCAAUUCCCAAUAAACUCAUUGUUGAAUAAUGAAAUUGAAAAAAAAAUAAAUCCAAAAAAAGAACACAAUAAAAUAACCUGAGCCUACCCGAGUUAACCCGCAAACAAUAACUUCGAUCACGAGACCAAUAUAACCCAAUAAAAAACAAGACAAAACAAAUUAUAAAACUUAAUUCUUAAUUAACCCAUUGUUAAAAUUGAAAUAAAUGUCUAUUAAAAAAAACUUGAGUCAAUUAGGGUAAUAUGCUAAACGAGCAACACGGGUCAUGAGACUAAGAUAAUCACAUAUAAAGCAAACCACAAUAAAUCAUGAAACCCAAUUCUCAACAAACUAAAUAUUAAAGGAUGAAAUUAGAGAGAGAAAAACAUGGAUUAAAAAAAACUAUUGCAAUGAAUAGUAUUGAGUAAGGUGGUGCACAGUAAAAACAUCACCCCUUUUAGUUUUUGUUGAUAAAAAAAUUGAGUUUAUUUAAUUUUAAAAUUUUAAAAUCAUUUUUGUUUUUAAAUAAAAUAAGCAUUUUUCCAUAUCUCAAAAACAUUCCUUCCCAUUCAUUUUAAAAAUAAAAGUUAAUGUUUCUAAUAUGAUUUUAUAAAACCUUAAAAGUUACGCAACAUUUAAAAAAAACUUACUAAAUACAUUUUUUAUGUUUUGCUUUAAAGCAAAGCAAAACAAUAAAGUCUCUGUUUAUUUUUGUAGUACAAUAUAGUGUGGUUUGCGUUUUGCCUCAACCACAUAUUUAAAAAUGUUUGGUUAAUAAACACAUACAAUAGUUUUGCAUACGUUCCAAUGAAAACUCUUUAUUGAAAUCUUGGUUAAGAAAAAGUUACAAUUUGUAGCUUUUCUUAACCUAUGUUUUCAAACCAUAAUCACAAAAACUAUUACAAUGCCAAAGACACACUAAAACCUAGAGAGAUAGGGGAUAUGGUGAGUGGAUGAUGUUGGGAAAUUUCUUCAAUAUUCUUGGCAUAAUAAUGUUUAUUGCAUUAUUUUAUUAGUGGUUAAACUAUUUAGGUUUUGAGGAGAUUAAGGAGACUCCAAGAUAUAAUUUGGUAAAUCAAGCAUAACUUUUAAUCCAACUAUUGGAUUGAGUUAGAAUUUUGACAAAGAAUUUUGAAGGCCAUGUUUCCUAUUAAGUUAAAAAUUCAUGAUGAUUGCAAAUUGAAAAGACCUUUAUAUAAAACUUGAAAGUUAUUGUGCAAGAUUUUUUUUAUUUACCUUAUUAUAUUUGGAUUGUUUUUCUAUUUAUCUAAGGACUUUUAAUUUAAAUAGUAUUUUAUUAUUUAGGAAUCCUAAUGUUAUAUGGAUUCUUUUAGUUAAGUAAGUUUUAAUUAGAAUUCCUUUCCUAUAAAGGAUUCUAGGUAUAAAUAGAGAUGUCUAGUUUAUUAUUUUUCACAUUCAGACUAUUAUUCAAAAUUUAUAAAAUAUCAUUGAGUUUUCUCUAAAUUUCUCUACAACUUAGGCUUGUAAUAUUAGAGCUUAAGGACUCUAGCUUUUAUCAACGUUAUACACCGCGUCAAUACAUAUCAAAGCAGGUUGGUUUUUUUUAUGGUUAAAGAUGGUAGCAACCUACUCCGCGAUGCAGGAGUGAAGGCCCUCUUUUUCUUUUUUUCUUUUUAUCUAGACCCUAGUAUCUAGAAGUCCACUGGACCGCAACUAAUCCGGUUGAGCCAAGUAAGCUAAUUAAAAAGUAAAGCUCUCUUAGUGAUGGUGUACUCCAUUCACAAGGCUCGAACUCGAGACCUUGCUUAAGGGAAACAAGCGCUGAACCACUUGAAUCAACCACCAUUGGUGGAGUGGAGGCUCUCUGAGGCACUAUACGGGCUCGGGAGUAGAAAUUAGAUCGUUGGGAAUGGAGGUUUGAUUGCUUGGAGAAAAUUGUAAUAGAUCUAGCUCAGCUAAUGGGUUUCACAAACAAGGAUCGUGAAGAGGAGAUGAACUUGUCUAGAAAUUUACCUCAAGACAGGCCAAACCCCAAACCCCAUACCUAUUAUUGAAUUCGAUGGGAUUACAUUAUAUGAUAUGAGAUUUUUGAAGAAAGGAUUUAUUAAAAGGUUAACAGAAUUGGAAGUUUACUUUUAUUUCAACAAGGUUCCUUAUCUUCAAAAGGUAGGACUUGUUACACACAAGCUUUAUUAUGGUGCUAGAGAAUGGUGAUUUGAAUUUCUAGACUUUAGAACUCGUAUUGGUACGUCUUUAAUUUCAGUUUGGCAAGAUUUGAGACAAUUAUUAAUUUUGGAGUUUAUACAAGAUGAUUAUUGUUGUUACCCAUUUUUGGGUCCCUACACAUAAAAGGAGAAAAUACAAAAAAAAAAUCAAAAACAUAUAUUCGAAAGAAAACAAAAAAAAUAAUAGUAGUGAGAAGAGGAUGUCGGAGAGCCCAGAAAAUAGCCAAAAAUUGAAAUUUGAUAGUAUAUGUUUUAUUGAUGAAAGACCUGUUGACAAAAAAAAUUCAAUUUGAUAAAGAAAAGUCCAAAAUCAAAUGUUUAUGGACUCAAUUAAAUUUUAUUGAAGGUUUAAUUGAAUUUAUAGAGGGUUUGACUGCAAGAAAAUUGAUUUUGAAGUCAAUUUGAGCUUUAAUUGGAAGAAAUUAAAGUUUAGAGGUCAAAUUAUAAUUUUUAAGAUUUGAUUUGGUCAAAUCAGGGGCUUAAUGACAUAGAUAUUAAAGUUUGAUGGUCAAUUAGGGACUUGAUUAAAGAAAUCUGAAACCAAUGACCAAACUAGAAAAUUGUGCGUAAAUAGAGGGGCUGAAAUUGACUAAAUCAGGGGCCAAAUUGAAAAAAUUAGAAGUUUAUUAAUCAAUUGAGGGUUAAAUUGCAUAAAUUCAAGACUAAGGAUCGAAGCCAACUUCAGGGUCGACGAUUGAAUUUGAUAGGGGUGUAAUUGAAUUGAUUCUUGAAAUCAAAAUUGCAAUUGAGGACUUGAUUAAACAAAUCAUAAAUUAAGGACUGAUUUAGACUUUUGCAUGUUUUUGGCGCCAUUUUUUAAAAAUGAAACGGCGCGUUUUGCACUAAACAACACCAUUUUAGUGCACUGUUCACCACAAAAAAAAGGAAAAGAGGAAAACAGUGUCGUUUUGAACAACAUUGUACUUCUUCUUCUUCUCCUAGACGCACACAGGCAGGGGAAGAAGAAGGAAUUCUCUCCUGUAUUUUCCCUCUCUCUCCCCCCACUUGCUCAAACCCUGACAAAACCCACGCCCUUCAUGGCCUACAACCAUCAUGGAAGGGGUAGAGGAGACAUGCUCUGCAAGCACCUUUGGGGCGACUGUACAAAGGCCACUCCAGCCACCCUACCCUGUCCCAUGACUGGACAGGGGUAAUGUAGCUCCCACUCCCCUACCUUUAUAAAUACUCCCCUCACUAGGUGGUGAGGAUGGUGGGAUGAAAAAACAAAGAUUAUUUAGAAUUGUAUUUGGAUUCUAUUUUCUAUUUAGCUUUGGACUUUAAAUUUAAAUAGUAUUUUAUUAUUCAAGAAUCAUAAUGCUAAAUAGAUUAUAUUAGAUAAUUAAGUUUUAAUUAGGAAUCCUUUUGUGAGGAUUUUAGUUUUAAUUAUAAAUCAUUUCUUAUAAAGGAUUUUAAGUCUAUAAGUAGUAUAUAUAAAUAAGAAUGUCUAGUUAAUUUUAUUCAUAUUUAGAUUUUAUAAAAUACUAAAAUUUUCUCUAAAUUUCUCUCGCAAUUAGAUAUGCAAUUAACUGUAAUACUUCCAUGCAGUAUUUGAUUGAGUAAAAAUCUACUUACCCGUAGUUGCUUGGAUCAGGUUUCAUACUCUCUUCUGGUAUUCUUUUGUGGAAUGUUUAUCACGGUUGAGGGCUUCAAUAGAACAGGAAUUCCUAGCAGUCUCUGGAGCUUGAUGGAGCCUCAUGCACGGUUCGAUCAUGCCAGUGGGAUUGCUGUGCUGGCCAUUGUAAUACUUCUUCUCUCAAAUGUUGCUUCGAAUGUACCAACUGGUAAGUUGAUGCCCUGAUUCUCUUCCUUUGAUUUAACUUCAUAGUACGGCUUUAGAGUCUUAAAGAAGGGCAAUAGUAAUUUCCAGUUAAUAUCACUUCAUGGUAGACAAUUGAGAUCUCCAUGGGAGGAGAAAUCUCUUGAGGCAGUAUUUCUGAGCUGGAGAAUAUGUCAACUUCACCGCUGUCUUGCAUGCUAUUAAUUUCCAGAUACAAUGUUUAAAUAUCUGAAAACGGUCCCACCCCGGUGGCGGAGCCACAUAGGUACGAAAGGGGUCAAUUGUCCUCUUAAUUUUUUUUUAAUAUUUUUUUAUUAGAAUAUUAAUAUAAUAAUUUAGUGAAUGAUUGGGAUAGGAAAGUUGUUAUUGCAGCUCAUUCUCUUUUUUUUUCCUUACUCUAAUUAUGCAAAUUCUCUUUUGUUUUCUCUGCCUCUCUCCCAUAUAUAUGUCCAGCUCGUUCCUUGCUCUCUCCAAUAUAUAAAUUUAUCUUCAAGUAUAGUUAAAUAAUUAACUUUUUUUGCUUUUUACUUUAUAUUUUAAGUAAAUUUCCUUUAUUUUUUUAUUUGUUUUAUUGUCUAAUUUUAAUUUUAUUUUUUUAUAAUUAAUUAUUGAAAAUAUUAGAGUUUAUGAUAAAUAUUUAAGAUUGAUAAUGAAAUUAUUAUGAAGCGGUUUUAAAAUAUAAAAAUUAAAAAAAUAAUAAUUAUAAUGUAAGUUUUUUUAUUUUAAAAUAUUUUAAAAUUAAUUUUAUUUACUAUGAAUAAUUAUAUAUAUUUUGAAUUGAUUUGUAAUGAAUAUAAUUUUGUAAUGAAUUGAUUUGUAAUGAAUAUCUAUAUAAUAUAAUAUUUGUUAAUAAUUUACCUUUUUAUUUAAAAAACUCUUGGUCCGCAGCUGCCCACCUCAUAGGUUCACCUGCACACAUAAGUCCUGAACUGUUAACGUUGUUAUAUGAUGUCUCCGUAGUAUAUUUCCCGCUGGCUGCGACUGAUCCAAAUUCCAUAUCAACUAGCACAAAUAUCUGUGCUCUAGGAACACGCAUUUACUAGAUUUUCAGCAUGGAAUGUCAUGCUAAAGGUUACUUUGGAAAUUGUUUGCUUGCUUUGAAAUGUCUUCGGCUGCUUUGACUGCUUCAGAAGAGAAAAUGUCCAGCAUCUUCAAUCCAUUUCUUAGCCUCUCAUUCUGAUGCGUCUUUUAAACGUAACAUGGAAAUAUUCAUAUGAACUCAUUUAUCUUUCUGGUUCCACAAUCCUUUUUGGAAUCUUUUAAAAGACUUUUAAUAACUUCCAUAUCAACUAGCAAAAAGAUCUGUGCUCUAGGACAACGCAUUUCCCUUUUGCUCAAAAACUACUAGAUUUUCAGCAUGGAACGUCAUGCUAAAGGUUAUUUUGGAAAUUGUCUGCUUGCUUUGAAAUGUCUUCCGCUGCUUCAGAAGAGAAAAUAUUCAGCAUCUUCAAUCCAUCUUAGCCUCUCAUUCUGAUGCGUCAUUUAAACGUAUCAUGGAAAUAUUCAUAUGAACUCAUUUAUCUUUCUGGGUCCACAAUCCUUUUUGGAAUUUUUUAAAAAACUUUUAGAAACUUCCAUCUCACUAGCUCUUAAUGAAUUUGUAGUUUUACUCUUUUCUCAGUUGGUUGCAAAUACUGGUUGAGCUACAGGGUGAUAUCUUCUUCUUUCAGAGCCAGUAAUUUAUUGAAGUUGCAAUGGUGGAGGUCUGCUAAGUGGUAGCUCACAAACAAGCUUAAUCUUGCAAGUUACAGAAAUGGUUCUGGGUUCGUUUAAGAAGGUUGUCUUAGGUUCAGUUGCCUUGGCAAUCUUUUGGAUUUUGGCAGUUUUCCCAGCAGUUCCUUUCUUACCCAUUGGAAGGACUGGAGGUUCCAUCCUCGGGGCAAUGCUUAUGGUUAUUUUCAAAGUCAUCACCCCUGAGCAAGCAUAUUCUGCCAUCAACCUCUCUGUACUGGGCCUUCUCUUUGGAACCAUGGUUGUAAGCAUCUAUCUUGAAAUAGCAGACAUGUUCAAGUACAGAACUCCAGUGUUCAAUUAGGUUGACAGAGUAACUGUGAAGAGAAGAAAGCUUGGCUCAUCCUGGCAUGGGUUAGCACAGUUGCAGGAAACCUCUUGCUGUUAGGUUAUGCCGCAAACAUAAUUGUGUGUGAACAUUCGUGCCCAGCCUAGUUACAAUAUCACCUUUUGGAGCCAUUUGAAGUUCGGUGUUCCAUCCACGCUUAUUGUCACUGCUAUUGACUUAGCUCUUGUAUAUUGCUAUGAUGUUUGAAGGGCCUAUUUAAAUUGAGCUCUUCUUUAGGCAUUGGAUCUUUAUAGAGUUUUAGGCCUUCUGCUUGUAAUUAGGUUCUUAAGCACAGGUCACUUUAACUCAGAUUUUCAAAGAUGGAAUUAUGUUUUCUUUUUUCCUGCCUAGGAUGAAGCGAACUUUUCUUUAGAAGAGAUGGUGUCAAAGAAAUGAUCUUUCAUUUGUAUACCAUAUUCCACUGCAAUUGUGUGCAAAAAUCCUAGGCAAGGUAUACUAAGCAAUAAGAGCCCAGAAAAGUUGUCACAAUUUGAUAUUGUUAGACUCACAAUCCUAUAAUGUAAGCAGUGUUAUGCCAAGAAAUCAUCAGCAAUUAAUAGUCUUUAAUACUUUAUAAGUAAGCAGGUAUGACCUUCAUAUCUUAUAUAGUGGCAGGGUGGCAGCUGCAUCACUCAUCUUAAAUGUGGGUGGCAAAAAGAUUGAAAGUAUAUCUGAUUAGGAAUUCUUAACAACACCCUAAGAAAACUCGACCUAGCCCAACAGCUCAACUUAAUAACCUGUCAUUUAGAGCUUAGCUUGAACUAGGUUUUACUUUGAAUUUUUUUUUUUUUUUAGCCAAAACAACAUUAUUUUAAAUUUUUAUAUAUAAAAAAACCAUAAUUUAGGUCAACUCACCAACUUAUAAAUUAAUCCACUCAAACUGUUAACGGGAUUUAAACUAAGUUAACUACUUAAGUUAGAUUUUAUAACUAUAUAUCAUGUUAAAUUGUUUGAAUAGCAUUUACUAGUGUCUAUUGUUAACGUUUCAACAUUCUCAAAUCCGUAGGCCAUCCAACCAUAGACAUGAUAGUUGUUGUCAGCUUUAUUAAAAGAAACUAAUUUGCAUUGGAAAACAUUAUUCACCUCGAUUUAGAAUCAUUGUUCAUCGGAAAGUUUAAUGUUGGUUUUGCUCUUCCCACAAAAAACCAUUGAAUUGUCUAUUAGGGGUAAUACAGUCUUUCCAUAAGGUCCAAUUAUAGCAACCCUGAUUUUCUAUGUCUUUUUUCGCGAUACAUUAGAAAUUUUCAGGUAAAUUUUUUUUUAUACAGGUUCCACUAAAAUUUUGGCAGAGUCUCCCUUAUAUUAGGAGGUCCCAAGUUAUUGACAAAAUCAUAUUACACUUUUAAUUUUAUUUCACAUUUCGAUCCAAUCAUCCUGGAUCUCAACCCAACUCAUCAUAAUCAACACAACACAUCUUAUUCAAUAACAUCAUAUAAUAUAAUUCAAGUGAAAGAUUCGAUUUCAACUAUAAAUAUGCAUGGUUAAAUCAAAUCUCUUUUACAACAUACAUUUUCCAUCUAUUACCAAUAUCCAUCUAAUAUCCUAUCCCAUUUGUCGAGAAUAAUUUCAUCUUGGAAAUCUCAACACAACUCAAUAGUUUUCGAACAUCAUCUCCUUAUAAAUCAAUUCUCACUUGAUAUUAAGAUAUUCCUCUCUUGCUAUCAUUAGCUUGUCUCAUUCUUUUGGAAUAACUAAUCAAUAUUUUCCCUCUUAUUUUCUGAAAGGUAAUUACCGAUACUAAGAAAUCUCAUUAGUAUCAUUAGUCUCUCAAUAUUGAGUUAGACUAAUCAAUUACAUUCACGUGUCGAUAUCAAUAUAACCGAUUGGUAUCAUUAACUAUUCCUUCCCUAGAAUAGUUAAUGAAAUCUUAUUCAUAUUUGGUUUACCAUCAAAGUUGAUGAUGUCAAGAACCUUUGACAUCAUUAGCCUCCUUACCUAAAGUAGCUAAUCACACCAGAAAUUAUUGUCGAUACCAAUGUGACCCAUUGAUAUCGUUAACUAUUCUCAACCCAAAAUAGUUAAUCAACUUAUCCUUUUCACUUAACUAGGAGUAACCAUGUCGAUGUUAGUAAUCUUUACUAACAUCAUUAGUCACCCAAUUGCUCGGGAUCGACUAAUCAAUUAAAAAAAUGUUGGCACCGAUAAAACCCCAUCGAUACCAUUAGCUAUCCAAACCCGGAUAGCUAAUCAAUAUCAUCUGAAAUGUCGGUACUAAUGGAACCUUAUUUAUACCAUUAGCUAUCAAAACCCGGAUAGCUAAUCAAUGUCAUCUGAAUCUUCCAUUUAUACCAAUCCCCUUCCAUUUUUCUUAUUAACAUAAUAUGCAUUGUAACCACGGUUGCCAAGUAUCAUUCGCAUACAAUCUUAGUUAUCGACACUACAGCCACUAAGCAUCAUUCAGAUAACCUUGUCACCCUCAUCAUAGUGCCAAGUAUCAAUUUAUGCCCUUAGCCACCCUCAUCAUGGUGCUAAGUAUCAUUGUAAUGCGUCAUUAACCACCGACACUAUGGUGACCAAUUAUCUAUCAUUUCUCCUUCAAUCUCUAAGUCAUUGUGAAUAAAUUCAUAAUGAGGUAUGUAAGAUAAUUACGUCUAUUCCAAAGUUAUCAUGACUAAUUCGAUACCUAUCAAUGUAAGGUAAUUGUAUCCAUCCUAAUAAUAAUAUAAUUAAUUUGAUACAUAACAAUGCACACAAGGUAUUAAUAUUCUUUCAAACAUUAUCCUAACUAAUGGAGGUAUACUGUUGUACGCAAGGUACUCUUAUUCAUUCCAAUAAUACCAUCACAAGUUUGAUACAUAUCAAUGUAUGUAAGAUACUCAUAUCCAUUUCAAUUAUAUCAUAACUAGUCGAUACACAUCAAAGCAUGCAAGGUACACAUAUUCAUUCCAAUGUUAUCGAAGCAAUAAAACAAUAAAUUCUGAAAUUUAUUAAUAAGUUACACAAAUUAAAAAGACAAGGUGUGAUGCACCUACCUAGAGUAUGUGCACAUGUUGCCACUCCAUGCAAUUGUCCGAUCCCCAAAGCUUCCCCUGUACCACCAGGGAUUUAGUUUUUAUCAACAAUACAACCAACAUCACAACUUCAUUUAAUUCUCAUUCAACUAGUAUUCUCAAAUUAGUCACAAGGAAUUUUCUUAGAAUCUCAUACUCUUACCCAUUUUCGUGUUCAUAUUCAUUCUUAUUUUAUUAUUAAAACCAUCACUCAACAGCAAUUCCAAGUAAAGAUUAAAAAUUGUCUAAUUCUAAUCAAUUUAGCUUAACCAACCCAGAACAUUAUCUAGUGUUUUAAUCAUAACUAAAGCUGUAAAACUCGGUUUUGGCGUGAUUUGUCUCUGUGAAAGGCUAAAACAUAGAAAUACAACUUUCAUGUAGAAAUCAGCUCCAAAUUAUUUUGUUUUAAGGCUUAAAAUCAAUAAUCACAAUAGCCCCUCCUUUAUAGCUAAAAUUUUGGACAACGAGGAUUUUUAUCCCUUGGAAAUUCUUUUCAACUUCCAACUUAUUUUCAUGCAUAAGCAACAUUAACCAAGGUCAUUUAACAUCAUUAAAUCACAAAUUUAAACCAAUUCUAAAACAAACUAUUUAAACAAUUUCCCUACCUCUAUAAUAUAGCAAGAUUCAGCCAAAAUAGGGGAACUCAUCCCUUUGGAAUUUCUCCUUUUUUUUUACACAUGCUACAUAUGUUAUUAUCCUUGUUUAGCAUUAUUAAUACAACAAAACAAUGAACCAUUUAUUUUCUUUCACUUUCUCCUCGUGUAAUUAAACAUAUACGACAAACCUUAACAAUUAAUAUUAUUACAUCAUUAUCACAACAAUAAUUUCACCCUACUAGUUAGAAUCCAUGAUAAUCUUCAUUAACUAAUCAAUUUGUCAAAAAUAUACUUAUGACUAGCCUUAAAUAUGUUUUAUUUUCCAAAUUUUUUUCAUUUCAAUUUCUUCAUGGUUCCACCCCAUUCAUAUCCACACAGCUAACAAGUUAGCCUUUUAUUCAAUCAGCAUGUUCAUAUAGUAAUGUUCAUUCCUAUUCUUACACCAUAAUCAUUCUACCCUACCUAUAAAGAAUACACAAUUAAUCUAUAACAAUAUUAAUAACAACAUAUUUACCAUUACAUCUUCCAUAAACCCUAACACCUACACAAUUCUAAUUUCAUCAAAACAUGUAUUUAAUCAAGUUUCCUAAAUUUUGCCAAAACUAACAAUAGAUUCAAAAAGCAAUAAGUCAUCUACCUUAGAUUUCAUUUUCUAACCCAACAGUCAGAAUAUAGAUCUUGGAUUCGUGCACAAUAUAUCUCAAAAUCGGAAUGAUCCAACGGUUAAGCCUCCCUAGAUCUGAAUAAAACCGAGCUAACCUGAAAAAUGAUGAGCUAUUGUUUAACAUGAAUGACACCCUUCCGAAGAGUGUGUUUCCGAUCUCCACCGUCCAGAAUGAAGGAAACAUCUAGGCGCACUAUAUAUCCAAAUAAGACAUGAUCCAGCGGUCAAAGAUAGAGAAAUCGACCAGCCAUCAAAACUACCCUGCAGGUGUAUUUCCUUUUGUUUUCCAGGAAAUAUCUGAAGAUGAUUUCUGUCAAACGGGUUAUGUGCUUUCAAAUCCCUCUAGCUAGUUAGUAGAAGUGUGUGAGAAGAAUAAUAUAUCUAUAAAGCAGUGUGAUCCAACGGUGGCUUCCAACGAUAUGGCCACCAGAGCAUUAUUGCCUUCUUUGGAUUGGCUCCAAAUUAUGCACUUCUCUCUCUAGCCGAAUUUCUCUAUUGUCUCUCACCUUUUUUUCUAGACUGGUUGGAUUCUUUGCUGUUUUAAAGGCAUAUUUUCCAUUAAUUAUAAUUUUGUCCCUUAUUUAUGCCUUUAUGUAUUUUAUUUUAUUUUUCACGUAAACUAUUUGGUUUGUUUCUACUUAAAUCGCUAGUAUUUACCGAACUCUGAUUGGGAUGAAAUAUUUAACCAAGGUAGAAAAACAUAUAAAUAGACUUUAUGCAAAAUUGCAUCUCGAUCUGGCGAUUGGAUUGAGAGCUUUGCUUUCUAAUGUAAAAUUGGUCAGUUUAUUACUUUUCAUCAACAAUCUAAAUUUUCUUAUUCAAUCUUCACAUAACAUCAUAUCAAUUAUCAUUCUAAACCUUUAAGGUCAUUUUAUUAUUUUGAAAUAUAUUCAGUUUAAAAUUUUCACCUUUAUUUAUUUAUCGGGCUUAUUACCGUUUUAAAGUAACGUCACUGAUUUUUAAUCGGUGUUUGCACCUUCAUUCUUGCCCUUUUCAUUGCAUUAUCCUUUAUUAUAAUUUAUUCUUUAUUACCUCACUUAUUCCCUAGAAACAUUAUGUCAUUUUACUUAUUAUUUUAUCCAUCAAAACGUGUUACUAAUUUCUCUGUCCUUAUGAAUUCUAAACCAAAAUUCAUUUUAUGAAGGUCAUCCCCUCCAUUAUAUAUCAUAUUUAUCUAUUAUUUCUUAUCUUGGUUUUCAUCACUCAUCAAGAUCGUACCAUUUUCAGUCUUAUGUUUACAUGGAAGUUUACACAUCCGCAUAUUUAAAUUAUAAAUUUCUAGGGUUUCACACCAAUGGUCAUUAUCAUAUUGUUCAGGGACAAGUAAGUCCUUUAGCAUUUUAGAAGCACAAUGAAACAACAAAAAUAUCUUUCUUUUCAUAUUGAUUUUUUUUAUGACAAUUAAGUUGGAUAAAAUAUAAUUUGGUAUUUUAAUAAAUAUAAAAUAUAACUAAGAAACAAAAAUGGUUGACGCAUGCAAGGCAUAAACCAGUGUGUGUGAGGCACUUGCACUAUUCAAGAUGUGCAUGUGGCACCUCUCGGUGGCAAAAAAUACCUUUUCACCAUGUCAUUAGAAUCUGUGUCAUCAUCUUUCUUUUAGGAUGACUCGUGGUGUCAGUGGUGGCACGAUUUAUAGUCAACAACAUUUUCUUUCUUUUCCCCUCUUUCCUCUCUUUCCCCUCAAAAUUCAUGAUGGCAAUACAAAAAUUCAAAGAGGUCUUAUUUAUUAAGAGCUUGCCAAUUCCUAAUAGCUACUUGAUGUGUGCUGUUGAAUAAUCAUAACUGGAAGAGGUCACAUAACAGGACGUGCUUAUGUCAAAUGCAUAGUGUUAAGAAUCUAUGAUGAAGUGACCCACACAAAAGUAUUGGGAAACCAUAAUAGGGUGAGCCACACAUAAAAAGAUAUUUGUGGUGUUUGACAGUUUCUAGCUGAGAUUUGAAUAGUUCUUUUUAGCCUGAAAAUACUGAUGCAAGAACUUUUUAAAAAAAACAUAUAUUUUCAUAGUUAAUUUUAUGUUUUUCUAUUCGAUAUUAUUAUGCUUUUUUAAUUUUUUUCCUAUUUAAAGGGAAUAUUUUCCUAGUUUAUUUUUCAUAUUCUGUAAUAGGGUUUUUUAGUUUUUCUCUAUAAAGGGUUAUAAUAGUUUUUUUGGAAAAUAAAGACUUGGACGAGUAAAAAUUGAAUAUUUUAGGUGUCUCUCCUAUAAUUAUGGAGAGUUUUGACUUGUAAUAAAUCUAGUUAUCUUUUGCCCUGUUUGUGUCAAAAACACACAAAUAUCAUAAUAAAACUUGAAAAAAAAGAAACAUUUAUCAAAACAUUACAUAGUUUUUUUAGUAAAUAGAACUUCUAAAUAAUUUAUUUAUGAUCCAUACAAUCUAAGAGCUAAUAUAUUUAAAAUAAAAUUCAUUAAGGUUAGUUAAUUUUAAAUUAUUUAAGAUAAUUAAUUAUGUAAUUAAAUAUUAAUUAGUUACUAUAAUAGAUUGUUGGUCCAAACUACAUUGCAGGUCGGAUUAAAAACAUUUAACAUAAAAAGCAACAUCUAUGCGUUUUUAACAUUUUUCUAGUAGAAAAAAAUUAAACUGUGUGGGGAUUGAUCAAUUGUGACCUGGUCAACUUGGCAAGUUCAAAGACAACCUAGACGACUAAUAAAAAUAUAGUUUGAUUUAAAAAACUCAAGACGACAUCUUUUUUAAAAUAUUAAGAUGACAAUAUAUUGGAUCAACCUAGGUCAACUAAGGUUAACCUGCCAAAUCCAACACGCGUGUCAUGAGACCAUGAUAACCCCAUAUAAAGCAAAUCAAAACAAAUUAUGUAGUUCAAUUCUCAAUCAACUCAAUGUUGAAGGAUGAAAUUGAAAAAAUAAUUAAUGAAAAAAGAUAAAAAAAACUAACUCGAGUCAACCCGAGUUAACUCAUGUUUCCUGCUAAGUUAAAAAUUCAUGACUAUUGGAAAUUGAAAAGACCUUUAAAUAAGACUUGAAAGUUAUUGUGCAUGAUUGUUUUUAUUUACCUUGUUAUAUUUGGAUUCUUUUUUCUAAUUAUCUUAGGACUUUUAAUUUAAAUACUUUUUUAUUAUUUAGGAAUCCUAAUGUUAUAUGGAUUUUAUUAGUUAGGUAAGUUUUAAUUAGUGAACAUGGGUAUAGCUCUUAAUUUUAGAAUGGGAAGAAUCAUAAUAUGUAGGAAUACGUAGAAAAUAAAUAGUGUAGAAGAAAAGAGAAGUGAGGUUGGCAGAAAACUCACUUAGGAAUCGCCGAUGAAUUUUGGGCAAAUUCAUCAUGCAUGUUCUAAGGGAUAUUUGGGCCUCAGAAUGAUAAAAUUUAGGAAACACCUCUCAGAGAAAUUGUAUCAUGAAAUGUUAACUUUUCAACGAAUUCGACCUCGCUCGAUUUGGAGCUCUAAAGCUCCAGAUAUAUGUGAAUAUAUAAGUAAAGGUCAAACUGCCGCCCCUGCUGACAGAUUUAACGAGAAUUAUUAAAAUAGUGGAUUUUGCCGCGAUAGGGGCAGAAAACCAGUUUCCUUCCUACCAAAAUUUUUGUAACAUUGAAUCGUGACUCUGGUAGGGAAUAAACCGCAUUUAAAAAUGAAGUUGAUGAUGUGCGUAAUGAUUUAAAACAAUGAAACGUAAAGAGUAAAUAUUGUUGUUGAUGCCUUGCUAUUUGCGAAAUGGAAACUGCACAUGAAGUGAUAUGGUAUACUUGUGAAUUCAGGAGGAACCGCAGAGAUAGUACAACAACAACAAGGGAACACAAAUCGAGCAUCAGUGGCAAGUAGGUGUUCCAUGCCUACACUCUCCUUAAUUGAUAAUAAACCUUGUAUUCAAAUUUAUGUUAGAGUCAAUACUUAUGAAUAUGGCUAAAGAAAGGAAAGAUAUGGUGAAACGGACAUGGAAUGAAAUCUGAUUUUUGGUCGUAGACUCUUGGACCUUGAUUUCGAAUAAGGACCAAUUUGAAGAAAAAAAAACCUAAAACAACCACCUUUAGACUUGAUUAGUUGAUCUCCAACAGGGGUGGCUAAUGAUGUUAGCAAAAAUUGUUAACAUCGGCAUGAUCUUGAUGGAAUUAUAAUGAACAUUGAACUUGAUUAACUAUUUGUAUCAAGAAUAGUUAAUGAUACCAACGGAUAAUGUCAGUAUCGGCAAUCCCAUAAUAACUUGAUUAGCUUCCUAAGGAGGAAGUUAAUGAUGUCAAGAGAACUUGGCACUGGCUUUAUUGGAAACACCUCCAAAUGAGAUGGAAAGGAAUUGAUUGAUUAUUUCGAGUUGGAAAUAGUCAAUGGUAUCGACCGAUUAAAUUGGUACCAACAUUACUAAGGAUUUGAUUAGUCGGUCCGGGUAAGGGUGACUAAUGACACUAAUAGGAGUUAUUAGUGUCAGCAGCGACCUCCUCAGAACUUGGGGCAGAGUAAUGAGAUGGAUGUAUCCGAUGAAGAAUAAUAUGUAAUAAUUAAGAGAAAACCAUAGGUGGUUGUGGAAGGAUAGGCUCUAUAUGUAGUAAAGGAAGCGUCAAGUGUGUUCUUUUUUUAUGGAUCAACGAUGUUAUGCCCUAUUGGUUGUGCACUUGUAUACAUAGAUACAUCUAGUAGUGACCCUCCAUUAAUUUGUUGUAUUUUAUUUAUUUAAUAUAAUUAUUCUCAUAUUUUGAUGAUACGGGUCUCUCUCAUUCAUGCCAGGAGUAGUGUCCUAGAUGUUUACUUCUUUUGCACGAGUUAGAAAAUUAGCGCCUCAAAUUCUUUUGUAUGAAUUAGGAAUUUCAUUUUCUUAAUUCCUUUUGUAUAAAUUAGGGGUCAUCAUUUCUACUUCUUUUGUAUGAACUUAGAAUGAAAUGAAUAUUGAAGUAUGUUGCUUUAAUUAAUUAUAUGACUUGAGUGAUGUUAGUAUUUUCUUAUGUAAAUCCUUGAGACUUAAGGCCUCUAUUAAUUUAUGUUUUUAAUAUUAAUGUUGCUAAUCAAGUUUAUUACUAUUAGUUUGUGUUGUAAAACUCUAUGCUGAGUUGAAUCUAUGGAAUUCUUAUAUUAUGACUAUUAAUGGUUGUAACUGCGAUGCAACAUAAAUAUGUGGUGAUUAUGGAAUGAACAUAAAUUAUGUGCAGGAUGAAUUGUCGAUAACUUGGGAUCUUCUAAUAUAGAAGAGACUACCAAAAUUUUGGUAGAAUGUGAAAUAAACCGCUAUAAAAAAAAAUUCUACCUAUAAAAUUUUAGUAAUAAACCACUUGAACUAACCAUCAUUGAUGGAGUGGAGGCCCUCUAAUGCACUAUACGGGCUCAGGAGCAUAAAAUAGAUCGUUGGGAACGGAGGUUUGAUUGCUUGGAGCAAACCAUAACAGAUCUAGCUCAGCUAAUGGGUUUCGCAAACAAGGAUCGUGAAUAUGAGAGGAACUUUCCUAGAAAUUUACCUCCAGAUAGGCCAAACCCCAUACCUAUUCUUGAAUUCGAUGGGAUUACAUUCUAUGAUAGGAGAUUUUUGAAGAAAAGAUUGAUUACAUUAUUAACAGAAUUGAAAGUUUACUUUUAUUUUAAAAAGGUCCAUAUCAUUAAAAGGUAAGACUUGUCACAUAUAAACUUUAUUAUAGUGCUAGAGAAUGGUGAUUUGAAUUUCUAGACUUUAGAACUCGUAUUAGUAUGUCUUUAAUUCCAGCUUGGCAAGAUUUGAGACAAUCAUUAAUUUUAGGGUUUAUACAAGAUGAUUAUAAAAGAGAUUUUAUAUUGAGUAAAUAAGCAAUUAUAUUGUUAUUAUUUGCUUUUUGUUAAACCUUCCAAAAUAGCAAGUAAGAAAAUUAUAGAAAAGGUGUCGUCUUUUCAAGGCAGAUAGUUUCAACAUCACAACAAUGACACCAACAACACUGCUGCAAAUACUAUUCUAAUUGUUAAUGUUUCAUCAAUUAAUGGUAAAGAAGAAAUCAAGAAGGCUUCUAAAUUAGUAUUUUGUAGUGAUUCUAAAGAUCUUGCAAAAAAAAAAACAUGGAGUACAUGGUAAUUUCUGACAAUUCUUUUAAAGAUAUAUAUUAUGAAAGAUUAUCUUAAAGUUUCUUUACAUACAAUGGUUAAAGUAUUGAAGAUCAUGGAUGAACUCAAGUUUGAAGCAAAAGAAUGUGGGAAGGAACUAUAAGUGAACUUCAUAAAAAUAUAAAGUAUAAUAUUAAUAUGGAUUAUGUUUUAGAAAGCACACAUCAUAAAUUAAAUUUUGGAGUUCACAUGUUAAAGACAUAGUACUUUGUGAAUAUAUUGGUUACAAUGUUAUAUAUUUGUUCAUUUAGAGUAGAAGAGUUCAGUUUUUUAUAGAUAACUUGAGGACAAGUUUUUCAAAAGUAAAAGGAACUGGCAUGUUCAUUAUUCUUGACAUAAUAAUGUUUAUUAUAUUAUUUCAUUAGUGGUUAAGACUUACAGGUUUUAAAGAGUUUAAGAAGAGUUCAAGAUGUAGUUUGGUAAAUCAAAUAUAAUUUUUAAUCCAAUUGUUGUAUCAAGCCAAACUUUUAACAAAAAAUUCUGAAAAUCUUGUUUUCUACUAGGUUAAAAUUUUAUGACAAUCAAAGAUCAUGAAAGCUUUUAAAUAAGGCUCGGAAGUUAUUGUGCUAAAUUGUUUUUAAUUACCUUGUUGUAUUUAGAUUUUUUUUUCCUAUUUUGCUUAGGGUUUUAAUUUAAAUAGUAUUUUAUUAUUUAAAAUUGUAUUUAGAUUCUUUUUUUUAUUUUUCUUUGGACUUUUAAUUUAAAUAAUAAUAUUUAAGAAUCCUAAUGCUAAAUAGAUUUUAUUAGAUAGUUAAGUUUUAAUUAGGAAUCCUUUGAUUGAGGAUUUUAGUUUUAAUUAGAAAUUUUUCUUCUAGAGAAUUCUAAGUCUAUAAGUAGAAUUAAUAGAAAUAUCUAGUUAGUUUUAUUCAUAUUUAAAAUUUAUAAAAUAUUAUAAAUUUCUCUAAAUUGAAAUCGUAAUAUUAGAGCUCGAAAAGCGUCCGGACAUCGUGAAAUUGAAAUCCACUUUGUAUCCAGGCCAUUUACUAAAUAGGUAGAGCCAAGUGAACAUCUUGCUAUUAACAUCUAUUCAAACAAAGCAAAACAAAAGCUUAAAAGGGGAGAAAGCGAGGAGAAGCUGCAAAAUCCUAAAAUCUUCAUUGAGUUCUAUACAAAAUAAUAAACUUAAAAGAUGGAGAAAAUAUGAACUCUACUCAUUCAAGCCUCAUUUCUUGCUUGCUUUGAAAUGUCUUCAGCUGCUUUGACUGCUUCAGAAGAGAAAAUAUCCAGCUUCUUCAAUCCAUUUCUUAGUCUCUCGUUCUGAUGCGUCUUUGUAAACGUAUUCAUGGAAAUAUUAAUUUCCAGUUAAUAUCACUUCAUGGUAGACAAUUGAGGUCUCCAUCUGUUUCCUCUGUUUGUUGUUGGAGGAGAGGGUUUGGUUGGGGGUGGGGGGAGAAAUCUUGUUCAAGGGAGUAAGUUUAAGAUAAUGUUCAGUAACUGUCUCAAAAAUAAAAAAGACAAAGGAACAUUUUUCCUUUUCUUCUAUAUUUUAAAAAGACAGAAACUCACUCCAAAACUGUUCUAAAAAUAUAUUUAUUUUAUAUCUUUGUUUUUGUCUUUUUAUCCAAACACGAGUAUGUUAUUUUAUAUUUAUUUAUUUUUUAAUCUUGAAAUACUAACCAAUCACAUUUUAAAACAAUUUUUAUUCAACCUAAACAUGCACUCUCUUUUUCGAGGAGAUAUCAUUCAUUGAAUUUGAAACAUGGUUAAAAAAUUUUGGUUGUGGGGUUUUUUGCUUCAAGAGAAAAACAAAUAAACUAGUUACCAUCACAAGACUUUAGAGUGAAAAAGAUAUUUUUGUUUUUUUAUCCCCUAAGCAGCUCAAAUUUAAUAAAAAAAAACAUUCCAAAGAAAAUGUUUGAAAGUAAAGUAUACUUUUUUUAUUUAACACAGAUUAUAACAUAUCCCAUUGCUUCAAACAUGUUGUUACAAAGAUUUAGAAGCCAAGCUCAUAUGGUGACUCUAUUUUCCUAGAGCCGUGUAUUCGUGUUGGUGAUGUUACGAGGAUCAAGAGUGUGCGUUCAUGCAAGGAUCAGGUAUGUAGAGUCUCUUACGGCAGUAUUUCUUCACUGGAGAAUAUGUCAACUUCACUUCUGUCUUGCAUGCUAUUAAUUUCCAGAUACAAUGUUCAAAUAUCUGAAAACGGUCCCACCCCGUAGGUCCACCUGCACACACAAGUCCUAAAUUUCUUACGUUGUUAUAUGAUGUCUCAGUAGUAUAUUUCCCGCUGGUUGCGAAUGAUCCAAAUUCCAUAUCAACUAGGAAAAAGAUGUGUGCUCUAGGACCACGCAUUUCCCUUUUGCUAAAAAACUACUAGAUUUUCAGCAUGGAAUGUUGGAAAUUGUUUGCUUGCUUUGAAAUGUCUUCGGCUGCUUUGACAGCUUCAGAAGAGAAAAUAUCCAGCAUCUUCAAUACAUUUCUUAGCCUCCCAUUCUGAUGCGUCUUUUAAACGUAUCAUGGAAAUAUUCAUAUGAACUCAUUUAUCUUUCUGGUUCCACAAUCCUUUUCGGAAUUUAAAAAAAAACUUUUAAUAACUUCCAUCUUACUAGCUCUUAAUAAAUUUGUAGUUUUACUCUUUUCUCAGUUGGUUGCAAAUACUGGUUGAGCUACAGGGUGAUAUCUUCUUCUUUCAAGCCAGUAAUUUAUCUGAAGUUGCAAAGGUGGAGGUCUGCCAAGUGGUAGCUCACAAACAAGCUUAAUAUUGUAAGUUACAGAAAUGGAUCUGGGUCCGUUUAAGAAGGUUGUCUUAGGUUCAGUUGCCUUCGCAAUCUUUUGGAUUUUGGCAGUUUUCCCAGCAGUUCCUUUCUUACCCAUUGGAAGGACAGCAGGUUCCAUCCUCGGGGCAACUCUUAUGGUUAUCUUCAAAGUCAUCACCCCUAAGCAAGCAUAUGAUGCCAUCAACCUCCCUGUACUGGGCCUUCUCUUUGGAACCAUGGUUGUAAGCAUCUAUCUUGAAAGAGCAGACAUGUUCAAGCACUUGGGAGUCUUGCUCUCAUGGAAGAGUCGGGGUGCGAAGGACAUGCUCUGCCGGAUCUGCAUUGUUUCUGCCAUUUCAAGUGCUCUGUUCACUAAUGACACCGCAUGUUUCUUUCUCACUGAGUUCAUAUUAAAGAUUGCUAGACAAAACAAUAUUCGACCCGAACCUUUCUUGCUUGGGUUGGCUUCAAGUUCGAAUAUUGGAUCCUCUGCAACUCCAAUCGGCAACCCUCAAAACUUGAUAAUUGCUAUUCAUAGUCGCAUCUCUUUUGGGGAAUUCGUAUUGGGACUUCUUCCCGCGGUGCUUGUGGGUGUCUUUGUGAAUGCUUUAAUUCUUAUAUGCAUGUUUCGGAGGUUGUUAUCUGAUGUUAAGGAAGAAGAAGAUGCUUUGUAUGAAAUGAUUGUUCAGGAAGAUUCAGCUGUCCAUCAGAUUUCGCUUGCUACCAUGUCAUCUCCCAAUUCUUUGGAAUAUCACGAAUAUGAUCCCAUUGCAGAACAUGUGAACGCCCAGAGGAUGUGUGAAUUGGAUAUGUGCAGUGAUUCCUGUGGUGAAAUUGAGCUGAUGAAAGCAGUCCUUUCAAAGAAGGAGGCAACUGAUAAUAUGUUUUCUGAAAUAGGAGAGCCAAUGGAGGAAAGAUUUGCAAGGGGUGGAGUACAAGGGACCAUGGAGAUGAUGACUGAUUUAGAGCCCGGGCCGCAACAGUCCGCUGAAGAAAGUAAAGGCCAGCUGAAUAGAUGGAAGAGAUUGUGUAUUUACCUUGGUACUGUUGGAAUGCUGGUUGCUUUUCUAAUGGGUUUGGACAUGUCUUGGACUGCACUCACAGCAGCCCUCAUUUUUGUGAUUCUUGAUUUCAAAGAUGCAGGGCCUUGCCUAGAGAAGGUAAAUCAACAGGUCUUUCACAA